GACGAACGCUGGCGGCGGGCUUAACACAUGCAAGUCGAACGGAAAGGCCCUGCGUGUGUGGGGUGCUCGGGGGGCGAACGGGUGAGUAACACGUGAGUAACCUGCCCUUGACUUUGGGAUAACUUCAGGAAACGGGGGCUAAUACCGUAUAGGAUAUCCUGCUGCAGGGUGGGGGUUGGAAAGUUUCGGCGGGUGGGGAUGGACUGGCGGCUUAUCAGCUUGUUGGUGGAGUAGUGGCUUACCAAGGCUGUGACGGGUAGUCGGCCUGGGAGGGUGACCAGCCACCUUGGGCCUGAGAUACGGAGCAGACUUCUACGGGAGGCAGCAGUGGGGAACAUUGCACAAUGGGCGGAAGCCUGAUGCAGCAACGCCGCGUUCGUGAUGCCGGCCUUCGGGGUGUAAAACGCUUUCGCCUGUGACGAAGCGGGAGUGACGGUACUGGGUGAAGAAGCACCGGCUAACUACGUG
This 468-nucleotide ribosomal RNA is filed under the name uncultured bacterium. RNAcentral's name for it is "partial 16S ribosomal RNA". It matches the Rfam family "Bacterial small subunit ribosomal RNA", at positions 28 to 507 of the family's 1533-position model. The record is from RNAcentral.